Molecule: long non-coding RNA, 823 nt
Organism: Cyprinus carpio carpio
Lineage: Eukaryota; Metazoa; Chordata; Actinopteri; Cypriniformes; Cyprinidae
Source: Ensembl
GGUAACCAUAGCAACAGCAGAUCAACCGUUGAGCGCUUGCCGUUGGGAUCAGUAUCUGCACGCUACAUCACAAAACAGUUAGUCAUUAUUUAUAAUGUUAACAGACGCUCUUCUGUGGACUCAGCAUCAGACGGGACGCCCGCUGUCCGCCCGCUGACCGUCUGAUGCACGCUUCACCUGAAACACAAGCACUUUCUCAAUCUAGUAAACUCUAAUGUGACUGGCUGACUUUAUGGAGCUUCCAAGAAAGCUCCCAGGGUUUUUCUCCAGUCUGUUUGGAAAAGUUGUGUUGACUGAGGAUCAAAUCUUUCAAGAAUGAAAUCAUCGCUGGAUUUACCAAAGUUUGUGAGUUUACUGUGGUGUUUUACAGCGUGGGACUCUGAACACAUUAAACAGACCUGCGGCGUCACACACCUCAAAGAGCUCUGAGCUGCUGUCAUCAGAUCACAUGACCUCAGCGCUGAGAAGAAACGACCGGCGUGUAAAUACUUCAACGCAGGGAUUAACUGAAAAUUCAGAGAGUAUUUUAAAUCAUGAUAAACCUUUCUAAGAAUAGACUCUCAGCGUUUGAACACAGCAGAACAUCACAACAGACAGAAAAACACACAGACACGUCUCCCAGGGGACACUGAUAACUUUCACAAAUAUGUUCUUCAUGAAAUUUGUUUGUGUACCACAACAGAAUUGCAAAAUAAUUGUUUCCCAAAGAAUCCUAAUGGUAUCAAAUAAAAAUAAUCUAAAAUUAUUCUAUGAUAAGAUAUGUUAUAUAAAUACAAUAUAGAUAUAUUUAGAUUUUUUUAUUGCAUAUUUAAUAUAAUGAAGC